Prionailurus viverrinus (fishing cat) is the source of this 799-nucleotide long non-coding RNA. RefSeq lists it as uncharacterized. The transcript is spliced from 3 exons. NCBI's taxonomy places the organism in Eukaryota, Metazoa, Chordata, Mammalia, Carnivora, Felidae. The record is from RefSeq and is a predicted model, not a curated record.
GUGGGUGUAAGCGCCAGGGCGCAGCGUGCAGCCAGCCACAGAAAUCGGGCCUCUGCUGGCCCCUGUGCAUAAUUAGUAGCCAGAAAUAGCACCUGAUCGGUGGCCCUGAACGAGCAAAUGUGUUUCCGUGCGGGUCCUCAUGUCUCCACAGCACUGCCCUGCUUUCUUCUUCCUUUCAGACAACAACUAUUUGCAUCCCAAGUGAUGGGUGUCCCAUUCUUUCCAAGCACCAUUCUCCACAGGGAUAGAUGGAAACAGCUGGAACGGAGGGGGGAGACUUUGGCUGUAAACCUAGACAGAGGUUCUCUUCUUCUCUCUGAGCCUCAGUUUCACCAUCCACAAGACGGGAACCAUGUUUGGGCUUCCCCGAGGCUCGACCGAUGGUGUGGACGGCAGCUCCUUGGCAGGUGGGAAGAGGAUACCAGAGGUGCCUGGAGCCCCUUUUCCAGCGGGAAAGCCAAAUGCUCAUGGAGAAAUCCCAGAGUGGAAUCUGAGGCAGGAUGGCUGGAUACAUCAUUUGGUGAUGAGUUCACAGCUCUGUGGGAGAGAGAGACAAGAAAACAUGCAUGUUAGUGCAAGGCAGCCUGGGCCGAAUGCAUGAAGAGAGGUGCAAACAUUCCCCACCCCACCCCCCAAAUAUGGUUCAACCAUUUACAGCAGGUGAGAAAAUGGCUUUAAGAUAUUUUAUUGCAUCCGGAGCUCUAGAGAACGAUUCUAAGUCUUUUAGGCUUCAGUUUCUCCUUCUCCUGGCCUUUUGCCUAAUGAAAUUAUGGAAACAGGGCAGGGGUAACCCGCUCUG